AGAGUUUGAUCCUGGCUCAGGACGAACGCUGGCGGCGUGCUUAACACAUGCAAGUCGAGCGAUGAAGCUCCUUCGGGAGUGGAUUAGCGGCGGACGGGUGGGUAACACGUGGGUAACCUGCCUCAUAGAGGGGAAUAGCCUUCCGAAAGGAAGAUUAAUACCGCAUAAGAUUGUAGUUUCGCAUGAAACAGCAAUUAAAGGAGCAAUCCGCUAUGAGAUGGACCCGCGUCGCAUUAGCUAGUUGGUGAGGUAACGGCUCACCAAGGCGACGAUGCGUAGCCGACCUGAGAGGGUGAUCGGCCACAUUGGGACUGAGACACGGCCCAGACUCCUACGGGAGGCAGCAGUGGGGAAUAUUGCACAAUGGGGGAAACCCUGAUGCAGCAACGCCGCGUGAGUGAUGACGGUCUUCGGAUUGUAAAACUCUGUCUUCAGGGACGAUAAUGACGGUACCUGAGGAGGAAGCCACGGCUAACUACGUGCCAGCCGCCGCGGUAAUAC
This 501-nucleotide ribosomal RNA is filed under the name uncultured bacterium. RNAcentral describes it as "bacterial SSU rRNA". It matches the Rfam family "Bacterial small subunit ribosomal RNA", at positions 8 to 526 of the family's 1533-position model. The record is from RNAcentral.